Molecule: ribosomal RNA, 460 nt
Filed under: uncultured bacterium
Lineage: Bacteria
Description: partial 16S ribosomal RNA
Rfam family: Bacterial small subunit ribosomal RNA
Source: RNAcentral
CCUACGGGAGGCUGCAGUGAGGAAUAUUGGUCAAUGGGCGAGAGCCUGAACCAGCCAAGUCGCGUGCAGGAUGACGGCCCUAUGGGUUGUAAACUUCUUUUGUCAGGGAGCAAAUUGCUUCACGUGUGGGCUUUGCGAGAUUACCCGAGGAAAAAGCAUCGGCUAACCCCGUGCCACCAGCCGGGGUAAUACGGAGGUCGGGAGGGUUAUCCGGAUUUUUUGGGUUAAAGGGUGUCGUGGGCGGAUGUUCAAGUUGGCGGGAAAAGUCCGGGGCCAAACCUCGUCCUGCCGGUGAAACUGGUGUUCUUGAGUGUGCGGGAGGUAUGCGGAAUGCGUGGUGUAGCGGUGAAAUGCUUAGAUAUCACGAAGAACUCCGAUUGCGAAGGCAGCAUACGGGAGCGCAACUGACGCUGAAGCACGAAGGCGUGGGUAUCGAACAGGAUUAGAUACCCGGGUAGUC